This 133-nucleotide small nuclear RNA is filed under the name Marmota monax (woodchuck). The stretch from base 1 to 82 matches the Rfam family "U4 spliceosomal RNA". From Rfam's summary of the family: U4 small nuclear RNA (U4 snRNA) is a component of the major U2-dependent spliceosome. The structure of U4 snRNA from yeast and human has been reported. The record is from RNAcentral. Lineage: Eukaryota; Metazoa; Chordata; Mammalia; Rodentia; Sciuridae.
AGCUUUGCGCAGUGGCAGUAUCGUAGCCAAUGAGGUUUAUCUGAGGCGCGAUUAUUGCUAAUUGAAAACAUUUUUACAAAGUAGCCUACAGUCAGAAGUUUCAAGCUCCAAGCCAAACUUUAAAUCAGAAUCU